AGGGUCUCAAUUGACGCAAAAGGCUGCAAUCCAUCUCCCCGUUUCACAUUUCACAUUUUUUCUUUGGGUUUGUUGGUUGGAACGGGUCUCGUCUCGUCUCAGCCCCACACACACACACCACUCAUUCACUCACUCACUUCUAUCAUCCCUCGCCGCACUCUCUCCUCUGUAACCGUAACUUCUGAAUCUGAACCGAUCUCGCUACGUGUCAUCGCCGCUGCAUCACUACGUGUUGCAUGCCUAACCACCAAGGCCACCACCACCUCCUCCAUCCUCACAAUGAAUGAAGAGAGAGAAUAGAGAGAGGGAAUACGGUUGGACUUUGGAGUCUGUGGUUCUUGUCUUUUCAUCUUUCCUUUCUCCUUCUUAAUCCCUGCUUUCUUCCUCCUUUUUUGUUCCUGUUUAUGCAGGAAACCCUAAUUUCUGAAAUCUUCUAAUAAUUGUCUCUUAAAAUAAGAAUACGCUGUGUGGAUCAUGGACAUUUUCGUUUUCUUCUAUUCUUAUCGGUUAAUGCUUCAGAUCUGUUUCGAUAAUGAAAGUAAUAGAACAGAUGUUAUGUAUAUUCUUUGUGUGAGGGUUUCCAAAUUUGGGCAUGUUUUGCAGCCUGGGCUCUUGAUUAUUUAUUUUCUCUUGGAACAUAGAAAUUGACAGAAGAGAGUGAGCACACAGAAGCACUCGUUAUAAUUCUAUACCGUUGCUCUUGCGUGCUCACUUCUCCUUCUGUCAGCUUCCAGUGCCGGAAAAAAUGAAAAUCACCGCUCGUGUGAUCUGCAUCUGCAUCUGGCUCUGCUUCGUUCCAAACCCCCAAACCCAAAAUCUAACCCUCUCUUUCUUUCUCUCUCGACAUUUUGGCGGAGCAAGCAGACCAGCGACCAUCACUGACUACUGCGCCAGGUUAUAUCAUUAUCAAACAGUGAAAAAAAGGAAGAAGCUUUUGUUUGUUUCUUUCUUUAGCCCUUGUUUUUAUUUUUAUCUCUUUACUGUGUCUUUCAAUUUUGUUAUUUUAAUCAUUGCUCGUGGUUCCAUUAGUAAUUUUUAUAAAUUAUCUUUGUUGUUAUCAAACGGAAAAGCGUGACUUUUGAUGCAAUAGCCCUAUUUGCUUGCCAGGAUCAACGAACCCCCAACAUUUUAAAAUUAAUAUUAAUAAAUAUAUUUAUACUAACAUUUCCCCUUUUAUCUUGUUUUUUAAUAACUUUGAUAUAUAGCAGUACAUAGCAUGGAGCCAUUUCACGUCACAUAGCAUGGUCCUCACCAAUUUUUUCUCCUUGCUUCAAUGGACAUCACAAUUAUGCUGAUUUCGUCCCUUUCCAUGUAUUUUUUUUGCUAGAUCUUGUGCAUGCCAGUGGUUCCUUUACUCGGUAACUGUUACUGUUUCUAACUUUCUUCUUGUUGGCUAUGUGUUUGUUCUUUCCUGCAACUCAACGUUAUGAUGCAUAGAUUCUGGUUUCAUUAUAUUCUUGGACAAUAAGAAUUUCAAAAGGGGUGUUUCUUUUCUGUUCUUAAUAUUUAUUGCUUUUUUUUGUUUUAGUUUAUCCUUUUCUUUUUUGAAAUAUUUUUGGUGGUUUAUGAUCUGAUAAACCCUAUCUACCUAACUCUACAGUUGCUUGUUUUGUGUCUGUGACUGACCAAAUUGUUUGACUAUAUGAGCAUCCUUUUAAUCAUCAAUUCAAGGAGCAAUAAAUAUGGUUUUGGAAGUUCAGUUUUUUUUUUCCCUCUCUGGUGUAUUGUGAUAUGAUGUAACAAUAAUAAUGCUGGCCGAGUAAACUUAUUGGGAUUUCUCUUGAUAUUGAUUGAUUUUUAUGCAUACAAAAGCUGCAGCCGGCCUGUACUUUUUCUUCUUUGAUGCAGAUGAUAAAUAUGGGCAAAGACUUGGAUUGUUCGUACACUUCUUCCUUGUAGAGAUAACGUGCUGUCCGACCCAUAAGCAUGUUAAAAUGUUGGAAAACAAGAAUCAUUAUACCAAUGUGAAAUCAAUGUCUUGGAUAAGGAAUCGAGCAUUAGCAAUCUCCAUAGGAUUCUUUUCACAUAUAUUAUUAUCAUCUUUCGGUGGAGACAAUAUAUGCACUCCCACCAGCAAAAAGACAGUAAAGAGAUUAAAUAGGGCUUUGUUGGAGAAAUGCACCUUCUGAAAUCAUUAUUCUGAAGCAUGAAUGGAGAUUAAAUUUAUAUUUCUAGCAAUGGAUACUAUUCAAUCUAUGAUAGCUGUUGAUCAGCCAACAGGUCCCUCCAAAAUUGCAUCCACUUAAUUUUUCUCCUUUUGAACCGACCUUUGAUGGAGACAAUAUAUACACUCCCACCAGCAAGAUGACGGUUUGAAAGCUAAUAUCGUAGAUGGUGGAACGGGUUGCCGUGUUGGAAAAGGGCUCCAAUUGAUAGGUACGAGAUUCCGGGGAAAUUUUUCUGGACGGGCAAUGGUUUCAACUGAAUCUUCUUUGAAGCUCCUAGUGAAUUCAUUUGUUAGCAGCAGCCAGGAAGAGGUUCAUCAGAAUGUACUUACUACUUAGUAGAGUAUACGAAACAAAGUUAUCACAAUAAGAACGCCACUAAGGCUGUGUUCUUUUAUAUCAGUCAGUAUGAUCGUUGCAAAUUCUCAAUUUGAAGAGGCAGCUCAUUACUCAAUAUCGUGUGAGUUCUCUAAUUGUCAAUGCCGUCAUUGACGAGAUUGAGACGGUUAAUACUUUAUAAGCUACUGCUGUCUUACAUUUUAGGGAAGUGUCAUAUUUAGUGACAAAUCCUGUUUCUGUUAUCCUUUUUAAGUUUUUAGUAACAUGUACACAUGGUAGAUCUCUUAAUUUCAAAUGCCUGUUAUUAAUUUUUUGUUAGAUUAGAUUCGUAGUCACAUUCUGUUGAGGAAUUUCAUUUAUACAUAGAAGAAUAUGGUUAGUUUGUGCCGGACCAUGAGUAAUGGUCCAAUAUUUUC
Arachis ipaensis is the source of this 2920-nucleotide non-coding RNA. The record is from RefSeq and is a predicted model, not a curated record. Lineage: Eukaryota; Viridiplantae; Streptophyta; Magnoliopsida; Fabales; Fabaceae.